Molecule: ribosomal RNA, 254 nt
Filed under: uncultured bacterium
Lineage: Bacteria
Description: partial 16S ribosomal RNA
Rfam family: Bacterial small subunit ribosomal RNA
Source: RNAcentral
UACGUAGGGUGCAAGCGUUUGUCCGGAAUUAUUGGGCGUAAAGAGCUCGUAGGCGGUUUGUCGCGUCGGCUGUGAAAACUCGGGGCUCAACCCCGAGCCUGCAGUCGAUACGGGCAGACUAGAGUGCUGUAGGGGAGACUGGAAUUCCUGGUGUAGCGGUGAAAUGCGCAGAUAUCAGGAGGAACACCGGUGGCGAAGGCGGGUCUCUGGGCAGUAACUGACGCUGAGGAGCGAAAGCGUGGGGAGCGAACAGG